Molecule: ribosomal RNA, 411 nt
Filed under: uncultured prokaryote
Description: bacterial SSU rRNA
Rfam family: Bacterial small subunit ribosomal RNA
Source: RNAcentral
GUGCCAGCCGCCGCGGUAAUACGGAGGGUCCGAGCGUUAUCCGGAAUCAUUGGGUUUAAAGGGUCCGUAGGCGGGCCUGUAAGUCAGGGGUGAAAGUUUGUGGCUCAACCAUAAAAUUGCCUUUGAUACUGCAGGUCUUGAGUCAUGGUGGGGUUGCCGGAACAUGUGGUGUAGCGGUGAAAUGCAUAGAUAUCACAUAGAACACCGAUCGCGAAGGCAGGUGACCAACCAUGUACUGACGCUGAUGGACGAAAGCGUGGGUAGCGAACGGGAUUAGAUACCCCGGUAGUCCACGCCGUAAACGAUGGAUACUAGCUGUGGGGACUUCGGUCUCCGUGGCCAAGCGAAAGUGAUAAGUAUCCCACCUGGGGAGUACGUUCGCAAGAAUGAAACUUAAAUGAAUUGACGGGG